GUCUUAUUGAAUAUGAUUUUAAGUCUAAUCUGCCCAAUGAUAAAUUAAAUGGCUGCAGUAUUUUGACUGUACAAAGGUAGCAUAAUAAUUAGUUUCUUAAUUAGGAACUGGAAUGAAUGAUUGGACGAGAUAGUAACUGUCUUAAUUUAAAUUUUAGAAUUUUAUUUUUAAGUUAAAAAGCUUAAAUUUUUUUAAAAGACGAGAAGACCCUAUAGAAUUUUAUAUGAACUUAAUAUUUUAUUAUUAGGAAUUGAGUAAAGAAUUUUUAAGUAAAUAUUUAAUUGGGGUGAUUGAAAAAUUUAAUAAACUUUUUUUUUAUAAAAACAUUAAUAUAUGGCUUUAUGAUCCAAUUAUUUUGAUUAUAAGAUUAAAUUACCUUAGGGAUAACAGCUGUAAUUUUUUUAGAGAGUUCCAAUCGAUAAAAGAGAAAGUGAAUUAAAGUUAAUUUUUAAUGUAGAAGUUAAAAUAUUGGGUCUGUUCGACCCUUGAAAUUUUACAUGAUCUGAGUUUAAACCGGUGUGAGCCAGGUUGGAUUCUAUCUUUAAUAAAAUUAAAUGUUUUAGUACGAAAGGACCAAGUAUUUAUUAUAAUAAUUUAGUUUAGAAUAAUAAUAUUAUUUUGGCAGAUUAGUGCUUUAAAUUUAGAAUUUAAAUAUGUGAGGGAUUACAAAUAAUAC
RNAcentral lists this unclassified non-coding RNA (676 nucleotides) under Euryspeonomus ciaurrizi. RNAcentral describes it as "partial contains 16S ribosomal RNA (rrnL) and tRNA-Leu (trnL)". The record is from RNAcentral. Lineage: Eukaryota; Metazoa; Arthropoda; Insecta; Coleoptera; Leiodidae.